GAGGGCAAAGAAGAGAAGGAAGGAGAGCCAUCUUUGAUGAGAUUAGGGCAACACUUCUUGGUCAUGUGAUCAACCACGGUUUAGACCAUGAGAGAGGCUGGACUGAGAGUCCAGCACAACUUGAGUCGAUUUACAGUGGCGUCCAUAAUUCGAACAUUCAGAAAUGAGAACAGUUUGAAUUCUGUACAGAGUGGAGAGGCAAAGACAUGAUGGAGGAUGAGGACAGAUGUACAAGAGAAUGCAAUUAUAAAUAUGGUUUUGGCCAACAAUGCAAUUAGGAUUCGAGAGAUAAGAGACCAUAUCUUGAAUAAUGACACCAUAUUUAACAACAUCAAUGAUGUAAGCCUGUCGACCAUACAACGCAUCCUCCAACAGCACCGAGCGACGAUGAAACAACUUUACAAGAGAGUAUUGGAGUUGGAUGCCCAUGUAAUUGACUUCAACCUCACCAAAACCAGGUGCCGCGGAAGAAAUGUAAUAGGACCGAGGGCAG
Long non-coding RNA from Oncorhynchus gorbuscha (pink salmon), 493 nucleotides. RefSeq lists it as uncharacterized. The record is from RefSeq and is a predicted model, not a curated record. The transcript is spliced from 3 exons. NCBI's taxonomy places the organism in Eukaryota, Metazoa, Chordata, Actinopteri, Salmoniformes, Salmonidae.